GGGGUUCCCCCGCCUGCAGGUAAACAAACAAACUAAUCAAUAAAUCAAUAAACAAAAGGUGGAGGGGGUUCCCCCGUCAGUAGGUAAACAAACAAACUAAUCAAUAAAUCAAUAAACAAAAGGUGGAGGGGGUUCCCCCGUCAGUAGGUAAACAAAUAAACUAAUCAAUAAAUAAAUAAACAAAGGGAGGGGGUCCCCCCGCCUGCAGGUAAACAAACUAAUCAAUAAAUAAAUAAACAAAGGGAGGGGGUUCCCCGCCUGCAGGUAAACAAACCGAUCACUAUAGGAAAGCACCUACUUGAGGCCCUGGUCCGUCUCCCCGUAGUCGUCCAGGUACGGAGGAGGAUAGAAGCAGCCCUUUGUUUUACCUGCUACAAACAGCACCUGACUUUCUCUUACCCUGCACGCAACACACACAGACACACACACAGACACACAGUCAGAGUGUGUACAGUGUACAGUGUGUAGUGUGUGCAUCUGCAGUAGAGCACAGGGCCCCGUUCCUCGUACGUGGCUAGCUGCGUUAGCCGGAUAAGAUGACAAGGAUCAGGCUUUUCGGUUCAAAUCACCACAGCAACACAUCCACAAACUUGAACCUGCUCCGGCGCAGCUUCAUUUGAGCGGCUGGAUUAAUUCGCCACUCCCCCGGAAAACAAGGCAGCUCUCUUCCUCACUGAUAAAGGGAAGCCGCUGCAUGUUGUGUUCUUCAUAAAGUUCAGUUGGUUUAUUUGACACUUUUCAUGUUCCACGUUUCACUGCUUCAAUUGAUCAAAUGUCUGAUGACACACUGAUUCGCC
Molecule: long non-coding RNA, 797 nt
Organism: Gasterosteus aculeatus aculeatus (three-spined stickleback)
Lineage: Eukaryota; Metazoa; Chordata; Actinopteri; Perciformes; Gasterosteidae
Source: Ensembl